GCCCGGAUAGCUCAGUCGGUAGAGCAUCA
Molecule: non-coding RNA, 29 nt
Filed under: Drosophila erecta
Lineage: Eukaryota; Metazoa; Arthropoda; Insecta; Diptera; Drosophilidae
Also listed under: 11 other names
Source: RNAcentral